Molecule: ribosomal RNA, 466 nt
Filed under: uncultured bacterium
Lineage: Bacteria
Description: partial 16S ribosomal RNA
Rfam family: Bacterial small subunit ribosomal RNA
Source: RNAcentral
GACGAACGCUGGCGGCGUGCUUAACACAUGCAAGUCGAACGGAAAGGCCCUGCUUGCAGGGUACUCGAGUGGCGAACGGGUGAGUAACACGUGGGUGAUCUGCCCUGCACUUCGGGAUAAGCUUGGGAAACUGGGUCUAAUACCGGAUAGGAACCAUCUUUAGUGUGGUGGUUGGAAAGUUUUUUCGGUGUGGGAUGAGCUCGCGGCCUAUCAGCUUGUUGGUGGGGUAAUGGCCUACCAAGGCGGCGACGGGUAGCCGGCCUGAGAGGGUGUACGGCCACAUUGGGACUGAGAUACGGCCCAGACUCCUACGGGAGGCAGCAGUGGGGAAUAUUGCACAAUGGGCGCAAGCCUGAUGCAGCGACGCCGCGUGGGGGAUGAAGGCCUUCGGGUUGUAAACUCCUUUCGCUAGGGACGAAGCUUUGUUGUGACGGUACCUAGAUAAGAAGCACCGGCUAACUACGUG